CCUACGGGAGGCAGCAGUGAGGAAUAUUGGUCAAUGGACGAGAGUCUGAACCAGCAAAGUAGCGUGAAGGAUGACUGCCCUAGGGGUUGUAAAUUUCUUUUAUAUGGAAAUAAAAUGUUCCACGUGUGGGAUUUUAUAUGUACCAUAUGAAUAAGGAUCGGCUACCUCCGUGCCAGCAGCCGCGGUAAUACGGAGGUUCCGAGCGUUAUCCGGAUUUAUUGGGUUUAAAGGGCGCGUAGGUGGAUUGUUAAGUCAGUUGUGAAAGUUUGCGGCUCAACCGUAAAAUUGCAGUUGAAACUGGCAGUCUUGAGUACAGUAGAGGUGGGCGGAAUUCGUGGUGUAGCGGUGAAAUGCUUAGAUAGCACGAAGAACUCCGAUUGCGAAGGCAGUUCACUGGACUGCAACUGACACUGAGGCUCGAAAGUGUGGGUAUCAAACAGGAUUAGAUACCCCAGUAGUC
RNAcentral lists this ribosomal RNA (460 nucleotides) under uncultured bacterium. RNAcentral describes it as "partial 16S ribosomal RNA". It matches the Rfam family "Bacterial small subunit ribosomal RNA", at positions 338 to 795 of the family's 1533-position model. The record is from RNAcentral.